AACGCGAAGAACCUUACCUACCCUUGACAUGUACGGAAGCCCUCAGAGAUGGGGGCGUGCCCGAAAGGGAGCCGUAACACAGGUGCUGCAUGGCUGUCGUCAGCUCGUGUCGUGAGAUGUUGGGUUAAGUCCCGCAACGAGCGCAACCCUUGUCCCUAGUUGCUACGCAAGGGCACUCUAGGGAGACUGCCGGUGACAAACCGGAGGAAGGUGGGGAUGACGUCAAGUCCUCAUGGCCCUUAUGGGUAGGGCUUCACACGUCAUACAAUGGCCGGUACAGAGGGUUGCCAAAGCGCGAGCUGGAGCCAAUCCCAGAAAGCCGGUCGUAGUCCGGAUUGCAGUCUGCAACUCGACUGCAUGAAGUCGGAAUCGCUAGUAAUCGCGGAUCAGCAUGUCGCGGUGAAUACGUUCCCGGGCCUUGUA
This 423-nucleotide ribosomal RNA is filed under the name uncultured beta proteobacterium. RNAcentral describes it as "bacterial SSU rRNA". It matches the Rfam family "Bacterial small subunit ribosomal RNA", at positions 958 to 1385 of the family's 1533-position model. The record is from RNAcentral. Lineage: Bacteria; Pseudomonadati; Pseudomonadota; Betaproteobacteria.